UAGAUACCCUGGUAGUCCACGCCCUAAACGAUGUCAACUGGGUGUUCGGGAAGCGAUUCCUGGGUACCGUAGCUAACGCGUGAAGUUGACCGCCUGGGGAGUACGGCCGCAAGGUUAAAACUCAAAGGAAUUGACGGGGACCCGCACAAGCGGUGGAUGAUGUGGAUUAAUUCGAUGCAACGCGAACAACCUUACCUACCUUGACAUGUCCGAGAGCCCGCUGAGAGGUGGGUGUGCCCGAAAGGGAAUC
This 250-nucleotide ribosomal RNA is filed under the name uncultured bacterium. RNAcentral describes it as "partial 16S ribosomal RNA". It matches the Rfam family "Bacterial small subunit ribosomal RNA", at positions 779 to 1028 of the family's 1533-position model. The record is from RNAcentral.